GAUGAACGCUAGCGGGAGGCUUAACACAUGCAAGUCGAGGGGCAGCAUAGGGUAGCAAUACUCUGAUGGCGACCGGCAAACGGGUGAGUAACGCGUAUGCAACCUACCCUGUACAGGGGGAUAACCCGGAGAAAUUCGGACUAAUAUCCCGUAAUAAUAUCCGGAGGCAUCUUUGGAUAUUUAAAGUUCCGACGGUACGGGAUGGGCAUGCGUAACAUUAACUGGUUGGUAAGGUAACGGCUUACCAAGGCUAUGAUGUUUAGGGGUCCUGAGAGGGUGGUCCCCCAACUGGUACUGAGACACGGACCAGACUCCUACGGGAGGCAGCAGUGAGGAAUAUUGGUCAAUGGGCGCAAGCCUGAACCAGCCAUCCCGCGUGCAGGAAGACGGCCCUAUGGGUUGUAAACUGCUUUUCCAGGGAGAGAAACUUACGCACGUGUUGCGUGACUGACGGUACCCUGGGAAUAAGCAUCGGCUAACUCCGUGCCAGCAGCCGCGGUAAAAGUGUAGUGUA
This 514-nucleotide ribosomal RNA is filed under the name uncultured bacterium. RNAcentral's name for it is "bacterial SSU rRNA". It matches the Rfam family "Bacterial small subunit ribosomal RNA", at positions 28 to 534 of the family's 1533-position model. The record is from RNAcentral.